UACGUAGGGUGCGAGCGUUGUCCGGAAUUAUUGGGCGUAAAGGGCUCGUAGGCGGUUUGUCACGCCGGGAGUGAAAACUCGGGGCUUAACUCCGAGCCUGCUUCCGAUACGGGCUGACUAGAGGUAUGCAGGGGAGAGCGGAAUUCCUGGUGUAGCGGUGAAAUGCGCAGAUAUCAGGAGGAACACCGGUGGCGAAGGCGGUUCUCUGGGCAUUACCUGACGCUGAGGAGCGAAAGUGUGGGGAGCGAACAGG
Molecule: ribosomal RNA, 253 nt
Filed under: uncultured bacterium
Lineage: Bacteria
Description: partial 16S ribosomal RNA
Rfam family: Bacterial small subunit ribosomal RNA
Source: RNAcentral